This 466-nucleotide ribosomal RNA is filed under the name uncultured bacterium. RNAcentral describes it as "bacterial SSU rRNA". It matches the Rfam family "Bacterial small subunit ribosomal RNA", at positions 338 to 795 of the family's 1533-position model. The record is from RNAcentral.
CCUACGGGAGGCAGCAGUAGGGAAUCUUUCGCAAUGGACGGAAGUCUGACGGAGCAACGCCGCGUGAGUGAUGAAGGCUUUCGGGUCAUAAAACUCUGUUGUUAGGGAAGAACAAGUGCUAGUUGAAUAAGCUGACACCUUGACGGUACCUAACCAGAAAGCCACGGCUAACUACGUGCCAGCAGCCGCGGUAAUACGUAGGUGGCAAGCGUUAUCCGGAAUUAUUGGGCGUAAAGCGCGCGCAGGUGGUUUCUUAAGUCUGGUGUGAAAGCCCACGGCUCAACCGUGGAGGGUCAUUGGAAACUGGGAGACUUGAGUGCAGAAGAGGAAAGUGGAAUUCCAUGUGUAGGGGUGAAAUGCGUAGAGAUAUGGAGGAACACCAGUGGCGAAGGCGACUUUCUGGUCUGUAACUGACACUGAGGCGCGAAAGCGUGGGGAGCAAACAGGAUUAGAUACCCGCGUAGUC